GCUAGUAAGGAUCAACUGGGUGUGAAAGAUUCAGGCACAAUUGACAAUAGCUCUAUCAAGGAACAUCCACCAUCUGCCAGACUACACAAAGAACUUUCUGUGCGUAUUUCUCAGAAAAAUGUAGAGAAAAAACGUGUACCUACUGAUACUAGUGUUUCAUGUAGUCCUGGGAAAUUGGGAACUCCGAAAACAGCGAUAAGCGUGUACCUACUGAUACAAGUGUUUCAUGUAGUCCUGGGAAAUUGGGUACUCCGAAAACAGCGAUCAGGGAAGGUAAAAGUGACAGUGUGUCCCCCAAAAAAUCCCCUGGAUCCACUGCAAAACCAGCGGCAGAGCCACAAAAAGG
Molecule: long non-coding RNA, 346 nt
Filed under: Nicotiana benthamiana
Lineage: Eukaryota; Viridiplantae; Streptophyta; Magnoliopsida; Solanales; Solanaceae
Description: long non-coding RNA (NBEN_LNC021107)
Source: RNAcentral